GACUCCAAGUCUCCAACAUCACAUGCCCUCCCUCCCUUAGCCCUCAUUACACUCAUUAGGAAAGGCCAGAGACCCCAGCACUUAUUCAAAGGCGGGAGAACCAGACGUCUGAAAUGACAGUCAUGCUUUCUCCAUCACAGAACGCUGUCCAGCCAUACGUUAUGCACCUCUCACCAUAUGCUGCAGACACCCCCCUACCAGUAUACAAGUGUGCCAGCUGCUGCACGUACUCAUUUGUCCCCAAGGCUUCCGAAGCUCAGCCCUUCCCAUCCACCAGACUCCGUAAUCGACGUCAGUCCCAGGUGCCCUUACCUGUUGUAUCUGAAAUACCGUUCUCACCCUUAUAGAACCUGUGCACUAAAAGAGCCAGCUGCCCGCUCCUACCCCAGUCUCUCCAGCCAAUGAAAACAGUCGUAGCCAACGGACAAGAUGUCAAGGCUGUUCGGUGCACUUUGGCACAUUUCUCAUCAAGCAUCUAGGAAAGAUUCCUAUUAUACAAGAACACACAGAGUCACGCCUGGAAACCUGAAUGCUAUCCACAGUGAAAGGAUAAAAUGACCAUAGAGAAAAUAAUCAAGAGGCUGGAGAGAUGGCUCAGUGGCUAAGAACAUUUGUGGCUUUUACAGAGGACCCAGAUUCAAAUGCCAGCAUCCACUUGGACACUCACCACUGUCUGUAACUCCAGCUCCGGGAGAUCCAACACCCUCUUUUGACUUCCUUGGGCAGCAGACAUGUACAUGUAGGCGAGAAAGAUUGCUUGAAGACUCCAAGUCUCCAACAUCACAUGCCCUCCCUCCCUUAGCCCUCAUUACACUCAUUAGGAAAGGCCAGAGACCCCAGCACUUAUUCAAAGGCGGGAGAACCAGACGUCUGAAAUGACAGUCAUGCUUUCUCCAUCACAGAACGCUGUCCAGCCAUACGUUAUGCACCUCUCACCAUAUGCUGCAGACACCCCCCUACCAGUAUACAAGUGUGCCAGCUGCUGCACGUACUCAUUUGUCCCCAAGGCUUCCGAAGCUCAGCCCUUCCCAUCCACCAGACUCCGUAAUCGACGUCAGUCCCAGGUGCCCUUACCUGUUGUAUCUGAAAUACCGUUCUCACCCUUAUAGAACCUGUGCACUAAAAGAGCCAGCUGCCCGCUCCUACCCCAGUCUCUCCAGCCAAUGAAAACAGUCGUAGCCAACGGACAAGAUGUCAAGGCUGUUCGGUGCACUUUGGCACAUUUCUCAUCAAGCAUCUAGGAAAGAUUCCUAUUAUACAAGAACACACAGAGUCACGCCUGGAAACCUGAAUGCUAUCCACAGUGAAAGGAUAAAAUGACCAUAGAGAAAAUAAUCAAGAGGCUGGAGAGAUGGCUCAGUGGCUAAGAACAUUUGUGGCUUUUACAGAGGACCCAGAUUCAAAUGCCAGCAUCCACUUGGACACUCACCACUGUCUGUAACUCCAGCUCCGGGAGAUCCAACACCCUCUUUUGACUUCCUUGGGCAGCAGACAUGUACAUGUAGGCGAGAAAGAUUGCUUGAA
This 1524-nucleotide long non-coding RNA is filed under the name Rattus norvegicus (Norway rat). RNAcentral's name for it is "long non-coding RNA NONRATT015767". Lineage: Eukaryota; Metazoa; Chordata; Mammalia; Rodentia; Muridae. The record is from RNAcentral.